AAUCUGGUGGCUCACCAUACAGGCUAUUAUUCAAACUGNCCAACUCGAGAGUGGUAGAGGUCACUGGAAUUUCUUGUGUAGGAGUGAAAUCCGUAGAUAUAAGAAGGAACACCGAUGGCGUAGGCAGGUGACUGGACCAUUUCUGACGCUAAGGCACGAAAGCGUGGGGAGCGAACCGGAUUAGAUACCCGGGUAGUCCACGCCGUAAACGAUGGAUACUGGCUGUUGGAGGUAUCGACCCCUUCAGUAGCGAAGCUAACGCGUUAAGUAUCCCGCCUGUGGAGUACGGCCGCAAGACUAAAACAUAAAGGAAUUGACGGGGACCCGCACAAGCGGUGGAUCGUGUUCUUUAAUUCGAUGCUAAACGAAGAACCUUACCAGGGCUUGACNCCAGGGAAUUUUUGGGAAACCAAUUAGUGCC
Molecule: ribosomal RNA, 421 nt
Filed under: uncultured Candidatus Saccharibacteria bacterium
Lineage: Bacteria; Candidatus Saccharimonadota
Description: bacterial SSU rRNA
Rfam family: Bacterial small subunit ribosomal RNA
Source: RNAcentral